AAAUAAGAAUGUGGCAUAUUUCCAAACAGCUGGAGUUUGGAAAAUAUUUCCUGUUGAUGGACUCAGUGCCAACUGGACAAAGGAAUUCUUGAGAUAGCCUUCAAGUGCUUCUUAGGACUGCAGUGCCUAGACAAGCUGACUCUGACCAGUGGUUUCAGGCUCAGCUAUACGUAGGCCUCAGCAGCUUGUAACAGUUUCCAUCUCCAGGCCACACCCCAGGAAGAAAUGGUGAAGGCAGACAGCUUUGUAGAUUUAGAAGGGUGCUUCUUUCUUCCCUUUCUAUUGGUUUUCCCCAGAGAAGACUACGUGUGGAUAUCUACUAUAAAACAUGUGUGCAUGGAAAAUUGUAGGGCCAGAUGCUUCUGGAUUAAGAGAACAUGACCAGGUUUAUCAUGAUGAGGAUAUGGAUUUUAUCCACAGAACAGGGAGGGCAAAAGCAAGCCUGUGGGCACAGUAUGUGAUGAUAAGCACUUUGGAAGGAUUUGUGAAUGAUACAACGGAGUUAUACAAAUCUUUGGAAGUUGAAACACAACUUUCAACUCUUGCUCUAUUUUAUUUAUAAUAAGCUGCUCUGAUGUAC
RNAcentral lists this long non-coding RNA (580 nucleotides) under Homo sapiens (human). RNAcentral's name for it is "long non-coding RNA NONHSAT199250.1". Lineage: Eukaryota; Metazoa; Chordata; Mammalia; Primates; Hominidae. The record is from RNAcentral.